This 23-nucleotide non-coding RNA is filed under the name Arabidopsis thaliana (thale cress). The record is from RNAcentral. Lineage: Eukaryota; Viridiplantae; Streptophyta; Magnoliopsida; Brassicales; Brassicaceae.
GAGGAAGUGCUACUUGGAUAGGU